This 494-nucleotide ribosomal RNA is filed under the name uncultured bacterium. RNAcentral's name for it is "partial 16S ribosomal RNA". It matches the Rfam family "Bacterial small subunit ribosomal RNA", at positions 28 to 507 of the family's 1533-position model. The record is from RNAcentral.
GACGAACGCUGGCGGCGUGCUUGACACAUGCAAGUCGAACGGAAAGGCCUGCUUUCCCUUGUGGAUUGCGGGUACUCGAGUGGCGAACGGGUGAGUAACACGUGAGUGAUCUGCCCCCAACUUGGGUAUAAGCCUGGGAAACUGGGUCUAAUUCCCGAUAGGACUGCAGGGUGGUGCCUGUGGUGGAAAACGAUUUUCUAGUGGUUGGGGAUGAGCUCGCGGCCUAUCAGCUUGUUGGUGGGGUAAUGGCGUACCAAGGCGGCGACGGGUAGCCGGCCUGAGAGGGUGGACGGCCACAUUGGGACUGAGAUACGGCCCAGACUCCUACGGGAGGCAGCAGUGGGGAAUAUUGCACAAUGGGCGGAAGCCUGAUGCAGCGACGCCGCGUGGGGGAUGACGGCCUUCGGGUUGUAAACUCCUUUCGACCGCGAGGAAGCCACCUGGUUGGAAGGGUGGUGACGGUAGUGGUAGAAGAAGCACCGGCUAACUACGUG